AUUCCAGACUCCUACGGGAGGCAGCAGUGGGGGAUAUUGCACAAUGGGGGAAACCCUGAUGCAGCGACGCCGCGUGGGUGAAGAAGCGCCUCGGCGCGUAAAGCCCUGUCAGCAGGGAAGAAAAUGACGGUACCUGAAGAAGAAGCCCCGGCUAACUACGUGCCAGCAGCCGCGGUAAUACGUAGGGGGCAAGCGUUAUCCGGAUUUACUGGGUGUAAAGGGGGCGCAGACGGCGAUGCAAGCCAGGAGUGAAAGCCCGGGGCCCAACCCCGGGACUGCUCUUGGAACUGCGUGGCUAGAGUGCAGGAGGGGCAGGCGGAAUUCCUGGUGUAGCGGUGAAAUGCGUAGAUAUCUGGAGGAACAUCAGUGGCGAAGGCGGCCUGCUGGACGACAACUGACGGUGAGGCGCGAAAGCGUGGGGAGCAAACAGGAUUAGAUACCCGCGUACC
Molecule: ribosomal RNA, 449 nt
Filed under: uncultured bacterium
Lineage: Bacteria
Description: partial 16S ribosomal RNA
Rfam family: Bacterial small subunit ribosomal RNA
Source: RNAcentral